AGCGAAGUGACUGAAAAGUGAUGAAAGUUUGUCACCAGUCUAGGUUAGAUCCUUGGACUAUCGCUGCAUGGGCAGUGUUGUAGCGGAUUCCCCUCUCAUGCAGCUGUGCAGACUUACUGAGGUGGGGUUUAGGAGCGUGCUGAAUGGAAACUAUUUAAUUCUGAUUUUGUCGUUUUGAUUUCACCAGGGUGGUUGUAGAGGAAAGUGCCCCACUCUCAAUGGAAGACAAUGGAGUCAGAUGAAGGGUAUUUCACCAUUGAUGUGACCACCUAUGAGCUGCUCUUUGGAAUGUUCCUUCAGCCCUCCUGUGCUACUGCAUUCUGGGAGUCUGGGAGCACUCUAGCAAAGAUCCUCCUUAGUUUCCUUUGGCUGCGUGGCUGCAUUGGGGGUUGUGAGGCCCCUCCGGCUAAACCAGCCGAGCAGCUUCUCCCUCCUCUCCUCCUCCAGCUGGUCUCUCUCUGCUGGGUUCAGAGCCUCAAAUCUCCCAGGCUGCAGGGUCUGCUGGGCAUUGCUUCGCACUCGCGGCUGGUACUUAUUCCAGUCCAGUCUUGGGCGAGACACAGGCCUCACUCGGUCUCCAUCACCGAGCUGGUGAGAUGGGCCCCUCCCGUCCCACUCGGCCAGCUGAGGUGUCCCAUUGCCGAUAGAUGACUGCUUUUGGUCUGUGGAUAGAGAAGAAAUGAUGACUCAAAUUAGCAAGUGUAACAACAUAAACCUGCAGGCGUCCACUAUAACUCCUUUAGGAUGUUAAGCCAUCUGAAAAUGUUGAACUCACCACAGUCCUCAUUGCUGAACUCUUGGGACAAUUUCACCAGCGAAGUUGCCAAGUCAUCUGCAUCGUCAGCUGUUGUGAGGCCCCUCCGGCUAAACCAGCCAAGCAACCUCUCCCUCCUCUCCUCCUCCAGCCGGUCUCUCUCUGCUGGGGUCAGAGCCUCAAAUCUCCCAGGCUGCAGGGUCUGCUGGGCAUUGCUUCGCAUUCGCGGCUGGUACCUAUUCCAGUCCAACCUCGGACGAAACACAGGCCUUGUAUUUAGGGGGGUCUUUGUCUCCAGAGACUUAAUGUUAGCAUCUGCGCUAGAAUUGGCCAUGUCCAGAGACACCACCACAACUGCUACACUAGCACCUCCGUCCAUUCUCUCUCCAGUUCUCUCCUUCCCCUCAUCCAGAGACAUAUCCUUCAUCUCAGCACGCUGCACCUCAGGGAUGGCCAUCACAAGGUUCUUCAACCUCGUUU
This is a long non-coding RNA of Clupea harengus (Atlantic herring), 1234 nucleotides long. Lineage: Eukaryota; Metazoa; Chordata; Actinopteri; Clupeiformes; Clupeidae. The record is from Ensembl.